AGACAGCAGCCGCCACGGUAAUACAGAGGGUGCGAGCGUUAAUCGGAUUUACUGGGCGUAAAGCGUGCGUAGGCGGCUUCUUAAGUCGGAUGUGAAAUCCCUGAGCUUAACUUAGGAAUUGCAUUCGAUACUGGGAAGCUAGAGUAUGGGAGAGGAUGGUAGAAUUCCAGGUGUAGCGGUGAAAUGCGUAGAGAUCUGGAGGAAUACCGAUGGCGAAGGCAGCCAUCUGGCCUAAUACUGACGCUGAGGUACGAAAGCAUGGGGAGCAAACAGGAUUAGAUACCCGGGUAGUCCCUGUCUCUUAUAC
This 307-nucleotide ribosomal RNA is filed under the name uncultured bacterium. RNAcentral's name for it is "partial 16S ribosomal RNA". It matches the Rfam family "Bacterial small subunit ribosomal RNA", at positions 506 to 807 of the family's 1533-position model. The record is from RNAcentral.